This 22-nucleotide non-coding RNA is filed under the name Mus musculus (house mouse). The record is from RNAcentral. Lineage: Eukaryota; Metazoa; Chordata; Mammalia; Rodentia; Muridae.
GAGUGACCGUUUUUCCCCCCAU